AUGCACAGAAGAGAAAAUUUUGACCAGAAAUAACACCUAGAACCACAGAUUCUCCCCUUGAUGGAACCAAAGGACUGGGGAAGAACCAGAACUUGAAAGCUAGACUCUCUUCAGAAUAAAGAGGUCUCUUUCCUAGGAAGAUCCUGUGUUAAAAUCCUUUCCACAUCUUACCAUCAAAGUUUAAAGCCCUCCAGGUCAACUUCACAAUAAAGUCUUUUCUCGAAAGCUUGUGCCAUGGUGUCAGCUUCUGUGCAUACCAGGUGAUGAGCACUUGCGCAGUAAAAAUUUCUGGUGACCAGGAAGGGACUCGGUCCCGUGACCACCAGCCUGAAGCUCUUGAGCCCCCAGCAGACUGUGCAGUCUCUUCACUGACAGUAAGUGACCACCUAGAGGCUUGGCUGAACAGAUUCCUGUUUCCCUCCUUGGUACUAUAGGCCUAUGAGUACUAUUUUUCUACUUUUGAAAGAAGAAACAGCUUCUGGACCAAGACUUCUCUGGGUUCGGGUCUCUUGGAUAUGGAGAUGUGUAAAUUACAGAACUCUAACAGAGAAAAUUAUGGCUUCAUGAAACUGCUAACAGAAGAUCAAAAUCAAGAAUUGAUUACAUGGGACUGAAUGAACUGAUGAGGAUGAUUAUAAUUUAUAUGAUUUUUUGUUUAAAAUAUUGUUGAAUUUGUUUUGUUUUUCCAGAUUGAAGGAAACUUCUCUUUUCUUUUAAGCUAAAUAUGACUUACAGCAAUUUGGUAUAUUAUGCGUAUGUAAGUCGAAUUGAAAUCUUUAUCUUUUUCUCCCUAAAUGAUCCCUGCCUAAUUUGAAAACUCUUGAUGAAUGAGUAUGCUUGUUUUUGUGGCAAUAUAGUUAAUUGCAUAGUUUCAAUAAGAACCUAUUCUCCUUAUAACAGAGCACAAUUGGAAAAAUUGGUUAUAUUACCAGGUUUUGACUGGAAUGUCUUAUUUGAGAGAAACCUGCAUAGACUCAAGUAUAACCAAACAGCUUUAAGGAACAAAUAAACCCACUUGGAAUUUGGCCUCGUACCUUGCUUACAAGAUUCCUUGGAACCUUACCAGAUGAGUAAAGAAGGUCACUUCCUGCCAGGUACAAGAACCUCAGGAUAUUUGAGGAACCUCGAGAAGAGAGGAAUUCACUCAAAUGUAUAGGUAUUGCAGACAGAGGCUGGUGACAAGUCCUUGGCUUGGCUUUCCUGGCCAUGAGAGGUCUUUAAAGUUCAGUCUGAGAUUCCUUAUAAAAAGUUCCAGCAAAGCAGAUUUAAAAGAGCCUAUACGACCAACCACUAUUCUUGCAGUACUUAUGUAAAUAAUUGGGCCAAGUUUUUUGAAGUGACCUAUUUUGCAAACCAAUUAGUCUUGAUUUGACUAUCCUUGGUAAAAAUGAGGGUGAUUUUAGAGAGAAAAAGUUUGUUUCAAUAGAAACUAUAAUACACAUUUGUGGAUAUAAGUUUCUAGUUCUAUUAAUUGUCUUUGAGGGGUUUUUUUUCCACCUGUAAACUGGACUGGAUCCUGAAUUCUUCUCGUCUCCUGAAAUAUUCAGCUACAAAUCUCGAAGCUAACACUUUCAAUUUUUCCAUCUGUUUCAUUUUGGAUCAUUGAGAACUGAAACUACACUUUUUCCUGAAGCUCUGCAGACUAAAUAUGGCUAAGUUGAUAUAAACUUAAGUGUCGUUACCAUGAUAGCCCAUAUUUACAGAAUAGUCAUGCCCAUUGCUAUGUGAGCCACUUAGACGGAUACCUGAACAUGUGACGACAUCAUAAGAGACAUUUCAAACUUCUAGAGAUUCUUUGAUCCUGAAAUCUAUAAAUUUUCUUGAUGGCUGUGGCCUGGGCUCAGGAAUUGUUUUAUAAUGUGAUCCAACCAUUAACUUCGUGUUUCUUUCUGUUUCUGUAAAAGUAUUUCUUAUUAAGUACCUAGUUACUUGCUCACACUGUAUAGUCUAACAUUGGGAGUCCACCUGCAUCACCACCUUCUCAAAUGAAUUUCACUAGACCCACCUAUCAUCAGGAACAAGAAACUGGUUCACUGAGAUGGAACAACCUAUGCCUCUUAGCAGCAGGAAGUAGUUAGUGGGGUCAUCACCCCAUUUCCCUCAAGAAUGAGGAAUAAACAAAAUGGGGGAUUUGUAUGCACAGGCUCUCUAGGACCAGUUCAAACUGACCUCACUUUGUCAACAGAAAGUUAAAGUUGUUUUUCAGGGGCAAACUGAAAAAAAUGCAAUUCGUGUAGUAGGAACGUGCACAAAGGGGAAUGUCUUGACCUGAGCUAACACCGGGAAGCAAAGAUUCUCCUCCCCAUGGAAACAAAGGGCCAGGACACAACUGGAACUCAAAGCUGGACUCUUAUUAGAAGCAAAGAGCCCAUUUUCUAGGAAGAUCCAGUGUUAAAAACCCUUCCACAGCUUACGAUCCAUGCUUAAAUUUCUCCAAUCAAUACCUGCCCAGGAAGUGCUUCCACAUACAAGUCUGUCCCUCAUAAUCUCUUAAAUUUUGCCCCAAGCCCUGGACUUGGAAGACAGAUUUCAGAGCCUUGCCUCCUGUCUCUUUGUUGGUCCACCUCACCAAAAUCCUUUUCUUUUCUCAAAAGCUGGCCCCAUGAUGUUGGCUUCUGUGUGCAUCAGGUGGUGAGCUCUUUCUGAGUAACAGAAACAUCCCUACACCCCAAACAGCAAAAGGAAAAGAGAAGAGGCGAGAAGAGGAGACAAGCUGAGAAGAGAGGAGAGAACAGGAGAGGGACAGAAUGACGUUGUGUGUUGAAGUACAAUUGUGUUUUGGCUCCAAUGGCCUUGAAAAAGUUUUUUUCAGUUUUGUUACAAACCCAUCAUGCCAUCUGCAGGGAACUGGUUAAAUGGACUUGGCACAUCCACACAAAGGAGUAUUUUGCAACCUUAGAAAGAGAGGAAUGUUUACAACUACUUAUAGAAGACAGUAAAUAGCCCUGAAUUUCUUGGUGAACUGAGCUCAUCUCCAAAAGCAGAAGAGAUGUAGUGAAGCGUGGGCUCCACCUGGUGGUGACAUCGGAAAAUCACAAGCAUGGAUCCUGGAGCAGUGAUUUCGGAAGUGUAUGGACCUGCUGCCACUUCUUUAGAGAGGGGAGUAUCAGUGCAUUCCUGAGAAAUGUGUAUGUGUGUGCAUCUGUGUCUACUACUUCAAGCCCGGGAUAUGUGUAUAUCGGUUUUCUCUCUCCUGACCUUUAGAAGAAUGUGUUUUGUGCUUGGAACAGAUCUUAACCGCUCACUGUUUUCAGUAUGACUUCUAUGCAGAAAAUUCCCAAAUCCAAACAUUAACUUCCUUUGUAUGCUUCAGGCAUAGGAGUUAGGUAUGCACAUCCUCUUGGAUUCAGAGUUUUGAUGUCAAAUGCUCCACUUCUAAAGUUAAGUCUCAUCUUCACCACAAACCUGCUUCUUUAGCCCUAACAUUCAGUCAAUUAAGUAGGCUUGACACUUGGGGGUCACAUGUACACAGCACUGCUUUUUUUUCCCUCCUUUUUCCUUUCAAUAGGCUCUGUCUUAGUCCAGAACUUGGUUCUUUUAUUAUCAUAUUGAUAUAUUGAUGGAUUCUCCUUGCUUUUGUAAUAUGCUGCAGCUACAAUCCCAUCCAGUAAGCAGUCAAGUUAUUCUUCCUAAAAUACCACUAUUAACACAUUCUCCCAAAUUUGUAGUGAUAAUUUAGCCCAAUAAAAAUACUUGCUCUCUAUCAGGCACUGUGCUCAUUCUUUUAGAUUUACUACCUCUAAUCUCACAACAACUUAGCAAGAAGGGUGUGUUCAAUUUGGAGGGGGAAAACGAAGUUUAGAAAAUUAGCCAUUUGGACUAUCAAACAUGGAAUAAGUGAUAGAGCCAAGUUUAAAAGACCUGAGCUGAGAUUGCUAACAAUCUCAGGUUCUUCAAACUGCACAAGAGUAACUUCUUCUGUAUGGGAUAAUUUCAUACUCUGUUAACUUAGCAUCCAAGGAAUUCCAUAACAUAGCUCCCACCUUCCUUUCAAGCCUGAACUUGUACCAUCUCCAAUGGAAACCAUUUGCUCCACUCUCUCUAGUCUAUUACCACUUCUAUAUAUACCAUAUGCAUUCUCAUCUCUGUUCCGUCUUACGUUCUGUGAUGUACCUGGAAUCACACUACCUAUAUUUCAGGUAUGUUCCCUUAGACUCAUGCCAGGAACUCCGGGCUAGACUGGUGGGGAAGAGAAGGGUAUUUAGGGGCUGGGCAUAGAGACCAAUGUGGAUGUUGAGUGAAUUGGAAUCAGACUUGGAUCUGCAUGCCAACUUACCCAUUCAGUCUUGCACACCCUAAACCUCUUCAGACUAUUUAGCCCUCUCUGGCUUCCAGUAGGGUUCUGUAGCAAUGAUUAUACAAAGGGGGAACCUACUGCUGUCUAGGACACAGGAAGAUAGCAGGUGCCAUCAAAUAAUUAUAAUACCCAGAGUCAGACCAGAGGUACUAUCACGGUUCCCAAUGAUCUGACUCGAUAGUGUGGAAUCCAAGCUAUUGGAAGGCAAGACCACAAUCCCAGGGAGCCAGGAACAACUACACAGAUUGAAGAGCCUUUAAGAAUUUAAGAUGAGUGGGUAAGUUGACAUGCAAGUCAGAACCUGAGGUGAGGGUGGUGGGAAGGAUAAAGGAUGCCAUAUGUUAAUACCUGUGUGUACCCCCACCUCCCUCCCUCUCAGGAUCCACUAGAAAUCAGACAAAGGACAACAAGAGCAGUUCUAGACCCUGCUGCUGGUUGACUUGAGUCUGUAGAUAUACAUUGGUCAGUGGUGGUUCACUGAACCAGCCAGUUCCCGUGCAUUAGAAGAUCUAGGUAAAGGCAGCAUCUAAUAUCAUCCUUCCUUUCAGUCCAUAUCAUUUAUUAAUUUUUCAAACAUAAUUGAAGACUAAACUCUUAUGUGAAAUAUUUUCUUACAUGGCAUCUCAGAGACUUCUCUACCAGCUCUACAUAUCUAAGCCAUGACAAGUGCAGACUGGGUUUUGUUACUUAUAAAUGGCUCCCACUAUAGAUAUUUAUUCUUCAACUUACAUUGUUCAUUAACUUUAUACAUCUCUAUGGCUUGAGAGUCAAAAACAAUCUAGUAUGAAGGUCAGACAAAAAAACACAUGAUGAUAAAAUAAUGUGAUGUGAACUAUGGCAGAUUAAUGUCCAGGUUGUUAUGGGAAGUCAAAGAAGAUGCCUUGUGUUGUUUGGGGUGGGGGUAGUUUCUUCAGAUUAGUUUUUCAGGUCUCCAAACAUAAAAUUACUGAAUCAAAGAAUGUUCUCAUUACUUUCCAAAAGGAUUGCAAAAACCUUGACAACAUUUAAUACCACCAUAGGCAUUUUUUGUGUCAAGCUCUCCUCUCCUUCCUGGACACAUGGACAAUUACAGUCCCCUGCACUUAGGUGGGGACACAGUCUAGUUCUCAUCAAUGGACAGGGAUCUGAAGGAUCACCCAUUGGCUGUGGUAGUGAAUAGCUCUUAUUCAAAUUUUAGUCUCUUUCUUCCCCAUGUUGAGGCUAUAUACUGAGAUGCUGGAGGCACAAGAUCAAAGAAGCCUGCAUGGUUGAGUUCCCAUGUGGAAGAGAGUAGACCUAAUGUCUGGUCUGAGCUAGGCUAACACUGCAUGAAAAGAAAUAAUUCCUGUCUUAAGUCACUGAUAUUUAGAUGACACGUAUUACCAUGCAUAAGUUUACUCUGUCUUAAUACAGGACUGAUGCUUAGUAUUGUUUUGCUCCUUUGGCCUAUAACACAAUUCUUUGUUAUUCAUACUUAUGUGGUCAAUAAUAAAGAAAUUAUUCAUAAAUCUUUGCUGAAGCAGCAUCCAAUAAGAAAAAUGAAUGGAUCCUUUGCCUCCUUCUCAGAAAUGAGAGACUGACAGGAAUGUGGCAUGUGAUGAUUUGUAUGAAUGUUAGGUGGUUCUAGGAGACAGAAACCUUAAUAAACAAUGACAUUCAUGUAAACAGAAGUUUUUGUUUUGUUUUGUUUGAGGAAGAUUGGCCCUGAGCUAACAUCUGUGCAGUCUUCCUCUAUUUUAUGUGGGAUGCUGCUACAGUGUAGCUUGAGAGCAGUGCUAGGUCUGCCUGGGUUCUGCAACUGUGAACUCUAAGCUACCAAAGCAGAGCAUGUGAACUUGACAACUACACCACCAGGCCGGCCGCAACAGUUAUUUUUUAAUGUGCUAAAUCCAACUGACAGUGGCAGCCAGAAGGAUACGUGGAGAAGAGGGAUCAGAGGGAACAUAUCUGAAAGGGUAUGUGGUUGCAUGAAUGUCAUGUAAUUGUGAUUCAUUUUUUUAAAAUUCUCCCUCAAUAUUUCCCGUCAAAUUCUCUGAAAAUGACAAAAACAAACAAAAAAUAUUGGCAGCAGCCGAAAUCAACACAAAUGCAGUAUAUUUGCACGUCUAUACCAACCUGUUAAGCAGCAGAAUGGUUCCCUUCAGGUGAAUCACUACACAGAACCAGAGUUCUGUGUUUACACAAACAAAUUAAAAGUGCAGGUGCUCUGAUUAAAGUAGAGGGAGGGGAACCAGACAUCUGCUUGCUCCAUGUCCUGAUUGCCCCCAUCCACCUGGAUGAUCUCUACAGACACUAGAGAAGUCAGUAUCUCUGCACGACCAUGACAACAUUUAUAAAACAUCUAUAAUAUGGUUCUCCAUCUUUACCACAUGACUCAUGAGCUAUCAGAGCAUUGUCAUCCCACUUUAAAGCUUCUCUAACUUAUUUUUCAGAGUAUCUGAGAGAGUCUCAUACGUGAUUAUGAACUGUAGUUUGUUGGUGGUCAGCCCUUGUGGCUGACUGAAUUUUCCUAAGAUGGCUGUAACAAUAUAUUUUAUCCCAUAUACUCAUAAAAUAUGGAAUCGAGACGCCUUCCAUCAAGUGAUAGGGAUUAUGACCUCUCCCCUUCAACAUGGAUGGUACUUCAUUAUAGAAGUGAUGCUAUGUGACUCCUAAGGCUACUUCAUGAAAAUGCACAUACUUCCUCCUAGUUUCCUAGAGAUGUUUGCUCUUGGAACCUAAUCACCAGCUAUUGGAAAGUGCAGGCAACAUAGGAGGGCCUUAUAUGAUUCUUCUGGCUGACAAUGCUGCUGAUCUGCUGAUAUCCAGCAUCAACUUUCAGACAUGUGAUUGAGGAAGACGUCCCGAUGACUUCAGCUGCAGCCACCAAUCUGACUGCAAUCACAUGAGAGACCUGGAGCAAGAACAACUUCUAGAACCAAGCCCAACAAACUUCUAGAACCACGAGAGAUAAUAAUAAAAUGAUAGCUAUUGCUUUAUUUUAAGCCACUAAGCUUGGGUUGACACUUUUUUAUAUACAGCAAAGGUAAAGUCCAUUUAUUCUAAAUUAUUUAUUAAGAGCCUACAAGGGGCAAGGCACAGUUUCAGGUACAGGAGAGCAGUAGUGAAUAAAUAAAAUCUCAUAGAGAUAACAUUCUAGUUUAGGGAGACAGACGAUAAAUACAAAAAUGUCACUUGUUCUUUCUCACUAGCCAUAGGGUAAAGAUCUAUCUUUUUUCCCUAGAUUUAUUGACAUAUAAUUGACAUAUAACAUUACGUAAGUUUAAGGUGUACAGCAUGCUGAUUUGAUACACAUAUAUUGCAAAAUGAUUACCACCAUAGCAUUAGCCAAUAUACCCAUCCAGUCACAUAAUCAUUAAUAAGAAUCUAUCUCUUUUAUUUUUUUAUUAUUUUUUACUUUUUUAGCUGUGGGUCCUUCCAGUUGUGCCAUGUGGGAUGCCGAAUAAGAAUCUAUCUUAAAGUCACCUGUUUGUUCCCUGACCUAAGUUUAGAAAUCUACUUCAUGAAGCCAUCCACAUCUGCACUGGAAUAUUACUAGAAUUUGUUAGUUGUAAGUCUCAUUGGCUGGGACUGGUAAUGUCAGUUUCUUCUGAGAAGAACAGUGCCAAAGAUUCUUAAUGAGUAAUUUUGAUCUGGAAGAAAAUUCGUUGUUAUAACAUAAGGGAUUUUAUUAGAUUAAACAGAAAAAAAUACAAAGAAGUAUAAGGUACUAUAUUUUGUAAAGAUCAAAUGUUCUUGAAUAUCCUUUGUUAAAUAAAUCGUGUCAGUAAAAAUCAUUGUGCUAAAUCAUAAGAAAUUAAAUAUGAAUUGGCCAGCAAAACAGAUGUAGGUUAACAAGAUGGCUGGACACACAGGCAUGAGAAGAGAAAGUGUUUAGUUUUUAUAUUCUCGUCACUGAGAAAGAGUGGAAAUGGAAUGGAAUUGGAGUGGGCAAUGAUGGAGAUACUAUGGGAAAAAUUUGUGCAUAAACGUUAAGAAGUCUAGUCUGUCAUUUCACACCCUUUUAUCGUUUCAAUUUUCUUUGAGAUCCACUCUGUCUUUCCUGUCUUAUCUCCAUUAUAUAAGGAGAAAAGCUGCCUUGGAAAAGGUAGAGCUGUAACUUUCAGAAAUGCACUGUAAUUGGCAGCAGUUGUGCCAGCCUGCUAUGAAAAGAAAGCCCAUGAACGAGGUAUUUCAAAUCAACUGCAACAACAAAAAGAAAAGAAAUGAAUAUUUACCCUUGUAAUCAGUUAAAAUUAAAAGGUUCCUGGUUUUUAGCCAUAAAAUAAAAAGGAAUAAAGAAAAAGUAGAUUUGAAUAUAUAAAGUUUGUAUUUAAAUACAGCAAGCAAAACCCCGACAGAAAAACGGGCAAAUAAUGUGAAAAUAUAUUUAAAUAAACAGUAUGAACAUAAAUGCAUACUCAAUAUGUUUACACAACAAAGAACACAAGUUUUCCCUUCGGUAGUUGGCAAGAGUCAAAAUAAGAGGAUUUGAAACAUGAAAGGGGCAGUAUCAAGCCCCUUUUUGCCACAGCACAGCAACCCCGACUCGCCCCACAACCAGAGCCCAGAACCGGGAUAAGCAGGCGGAGGAAGCGGAAGGCGCGAGCGCAUUUGGGGAUUGUAGUCCACCGAGCUACCACGGGGGAUGCGAGCCGGCCUGAGUCAUCGAAGCGAGAGACGCUGUGCAGCGGUAGCGGAAGGAAAAGCUCGGCAGGGUCGCGGCGCGACUGGGGAACUGAGCCCGCGUGUGCGCACGCGCCAAGAAGAGCGCACUGCGCAUGCUCCCUGGCCAGUUGAAAGUCCCGUAACUACCCGUUCUCCGCGUUUUCCCCGCUUGAGACCCAUCCUGGGUCUUGAGAGAGCGGCGCGUUAUUGUUGUUCAGGGGAUUGUCAAAGUGUAAGGUGAAGAGAGACUAAUAAGCCAAGUUCAAAACAACUUUAUAAGAUCUUUACUAUCCGCAGAAGGCGAAUGUCGCUGUGACGUGACGCAUUAGUCUUGAGCUCCUAGAGGCCGGGGUGCGUCCUACUGACCUGUCCCCAGAACAGCCUUUUCCAGCCACUUCCACUCCCAGAGCCUCCUUGCACCUCAGGCCAUGUCGUCAGGAGUCCCCAGCCCUCUGUAGAGCCUCCGGGGCGUCUGUCAGCGGGCAGAGCCUGCUAGGACCCUCCUGUCAAGGCCAUUUGCUGGAGCCUCAGUGGAGGAGACUGGGCUGUUAAUUUCCGAAUCUGAAAUGACCAGAGCUGUGACCCUUUAUUUUGUAGAGUAAGCACUCAUCAUUUGGCAGGUGAAGAGAGAGUGAAUGUUGGUCCUCAGAGUAAAUUUCCCCCCACGUAGUGUUGUCUCUGCAUGCACAUUCCCUGUGCUAAGGGAAAACGCAGAUUCUAGAGAGUGGGGGAGGAGGAAGCACCCUAAGCAGCAAGAAUAGAUUCUGAGAGGAAACCCCUCUGACCUGAGACCUCUUUCAACAAAUUCAAGUGAGAACCUGGAGAGUUUGGGAAGAGAGAAGACUUUGGAACUCCCGGGUUUGCAUUCUCCCAGGACUUUCUGGCCCAGAAAGAGGGUGACUUGGGAGGAGUUACCACAACCACACAGAGAGUGACAGAGGGAGACAGUAGAGGGAGCUUAAGCCAAAAGGUUGAGUCAAGAGGUGGCAGUUACGGAAGAGUCGAGGGUGGGAAAGGAGCAACAGACCUUUUUGGGUGGGUAAGAGAGAAAACAAUGGCUCAGGUAAGGGGGCUGAUGUCUCGGUGGAGUCAAAUGUUCACUUCCUUCCUGAAGCCUGGACUGCCUGAUGUGGGCUAGUCUGCUCACUGUGGCUUCUUUCUUCCCCACUUGCUCUCUGUCUUCUCCACACUUUCCCCAGAGAAGGAGACCCUGACCCAGUUCCAGAUGAGUUGAUUUUUUUUCUCCUGAAAUUCUAAUUAGUCAGAGUUGUCUGAUCUUUGCUCCUGUUUAGAAAAGAGAAACUAGAUGAGCAUUUAUUGAGCGUCUAAUGUCUGUCAGUUACUUUUAGACGCUUUAGUGGUUCCUGUAUUUAUAUCUCAGAGGACCUGCAAACAUAUGUGAGUAUUUCCAUUAUGAGGGUGAGGAAAAUCUCUCAGAGAUAACAAAGGAAGUGUUCAUGGUCACAAAGUGUUAAAUUAUAAUUAGUAAUCAUUUUCUGGGAAAAUAUUUUGAGGCUAUGUAAAUCUCUUGUUGUUUGUCAAAAUUUCAUUCAAUACCUAUAACACUCAUUGAUGAUUCCUGCAUAAACCAGUCAUUACUACAAUAGCUGAAAAAUGGUGAUGUUGCAACUGUAUUACUUUUUGUUUUUAUGUUUCUCUUUUUUUAUGUAAUGAAGAGCUUUCCCUGCUACUUCAUUUAUUCAUAUAUUUAUAUCCGGAGAAAGUCAUGGAUCUUUAUUUUGCUCAAUGUGUCAUUCUUGAAUAAAUUAUCAUUUUUGAUUUUCAUGCUGAAAUUAUCUAGAUUUGUGCUGUAAGAG
Long non-coding RNA from Equus caballus (horse), 10740 nucleotides. The record is from Ensembl. NCBI's taxonomy places the organism in Eukaryota, Metazoa, Chordata, Mammalia, Perissodactyla, Equidae.